GAUGAACGCUGGCGGCGUGCCUAAUACAUGCAAGUCGAGCGAACGGACGAGAAGCUUGCUUCUCUGAUGUUGGCGGCGGACGGGUGAGUAACACGUGGAUAACCUACCUAUAAGACUGGGAUAACUUCGGGAAACCGGAGCUAAUACCGGAUAAUAUUUUGAACCGCAUGGUUCAAAAGUGAAAGACGGUCUUGCUGUCACUUAUAGAUGGAUCCGCGCUGCAUUAGCUAGUUGGUAAGGUAACGGCUUACUAAGGCAACGAUGCAUAGCCGACCUGAGAGGGUGAUCGGCCACACUGGAACUGAGACAAGGUCCAGACUCCUACGGGAGGCAGCAGUAGGGAAUCUUCCGCAAUGGGCGAAAGCCUGACGGAGCAACGCCGCGUGAGUGAUGAAGGUCUUCGGAUCGUAAAACUCUGUUAUUAGGGAAGAACAUAUGUGUAAGUAACUGUGCACAUCUUGACGGUACCUAAUCAGAAAGCCACGGCUAACUACGUG
RNAcentral lists this ribosomal RNA (497 nucleotides) under uncultured bacterium. RNAcentral describes it as "partial 16S ribosomal RNA". It matches the Rfam family "Bacterial small subunit ribosomal RNA", at positions 28 to 507 of the family's 1533-position model. The record is from RNAcentral.